CUUAGAGUUGUGAGCCCUUAAAAGGGACAGGAAUUGCUCACUCAGGGAGCUCGGCUCUUGGGACAGGAGUCUUGCCCAUGCCCCCGGCCAAAUAAAGCCGUUCCUUCUUUAACUCAGUGUCUGAGGAGUUUUGUCUGCAACUCAUCCUGCUACAUUUCUUGGUUCCCUGACCGGGAAGUGAGGUGAUUGGCGAUGGUCAAGGCAGCUCCUUAGGCGGCUUAAGCCUGCCCUAUGAAACAUCCCUGUGGGGGGACUCCAACCAGCCCGAGCAACGCGGACCCUGAGAGCGCUCCCCAGUAGGCAUUUGCCCCGGUGGGAAGCCUCGCCAGAGCAGUGUGCGGCAGGCCCCCAUGGAGGAUCAACGCAGUGGCCGAACACUGGGAAGGAAUGGGCACUUGGAGUCUGGACAUCUAAAACGUGAAUUUCCGGUAAACCAGCACCAGCCUGAAGAUCACAUUCUCAUCGAAAGGUGCAAAGAAGAAAAACUCGAGCCAGCCUGGGAAGAACCCUAUCUUGUGCUGCUAACCACCAAGGCUGCUGUUCAUACAGCAAAAAA
Molecule: non-coding RNA, 556 nt
Organism: Chlorocebus sabaeus (green monkey)
Lineage: Eukaryota; Metazoa; Chordata; Mammalia; Primates; Cercopithecidae
Source: RefSeq, a predicted model, not a curated record